Long non-coding RNA from Cyprinus carpio (common carp), 568 nucleotides. The record is from Ensembl. NCBI's taxonomy places the organism in Eukaryota, Metazoa, Chordata, Actinopteri, Cypriniformes, Cyprinidae.
AUGCGUCUCGGGGCCACGGCUUCAUACACACACCACACUUGUCUUAUCCCCCGUCUGCUUUUUCCCCGGUCCAAGAAGAGGCUAGCUCAACCCCAGACACACACACGCGCUCGCACACCCUCGCUCAAACACAGUGAAAUAGGGCGGUUCAGAGGACGGAAACAUUCUGUGAAGUAUACACAGCAUGGUUUCUGUGGAUGGCCUGCGUGUCUUCAGCAGCGGCAGAAUCCUCUGAGGAACUGGCCUGACUCAUCUGCAUCUGUGACAGGUAAGAAAAGAAACCAAACAACUCACAGUAAGACAAGCAGAGAGCUGCCCUGCACAAUGCACCCUAUUUUUUCCCCCUUUUUUUUUUUUUUUUUUGCAUUGACUAGAUAUUCAUUUUCACACCUCACUUCUCCAUAUUUAUGAUUGCCCAUGAGAACAUUUUUUAUUUAUGCUGACUUCUUUCAUAAACUGGACAGCGGUUUCUUUUUUCUCCAUGUGUGUCAAAACAAUCUCUGAUUUAUAAUUUAUGUGAUUUAUGAUCGCUAUAAGCUAUCAAAAAGUGUCAAAAGAAAAGUUUUUU